RNAcentral lists this long non-coding RNA (604 nucleotides) under Populus trichocarpa (black cottonwood). RNAcentral describes it as "long non-coding RNA (PTRI_LNC004471)". The record is from RNAcentral. Lineage: Eukaryota; Viridiplantae; Streptophyta; Magnoliopsida; Malpighiales; Salicaceae.
GCUGCACUUGCAGCUGCUGCAAUGGCAGCAAGGCUGCUGCCAUUGCAGCUCUCUUUCUCUCCACUCUCUUGCACACACUCACGUUCUCUCUCUCAUUUUGCUCUCACAUAAUGCCUCUAUUUAUAGGCAUUUCAUGGCAGCUGUUCCACUUGUUCUGCUGUCAAACAUGGCUGCAAGGUUAGGCAUGGUAGGUUGCCUAACCAUUGAAAAUGGUGGCUGCCAAUAGUCAAUGGUUGGUGCCAACCAUUUGCUGCACAUGCAAUGGCAACAACCCAACAAUGAUCAAAACAACCACAACAAUGAUUGUUGUGUAUGGACACCGCUCGUCGUCUGACAUGCGACGGCUAAGCUUUGAUCAAAACAAUUCUGGCCUGAUAUGAGCCCAAGAUUAGACCGCCCCAUAACAACGGGCGAAGACGCCUUAGAGAAGGUGUGAGGGCUGCGAUAGGAGCCCCAUUUCAGACCGCCGCAUGACGACGAGCGGAGACACCUAAGGAGAAGGUGUGUGGGCCACGAUAGGAGCCCAAGUUCAUAACAACCCCAGAGCCAAUGUGAUGGUUGGAUAUGAGUGGACAGAUGGAUAGCCAAUGAAGUGGCUAUGAUG